Molecule: ribosomal RNA, 1770 nt
Filed under: Shigella flexneri 2002028
Lineage: Bacteria; Pseudomonadati; Pseudomonadota; Gammaproteobacteria; Enterobacterales; Enterobacteriaceae
Description: bacterial LSU rRNA
Rfam family: Bacterial large subunit ribosomal RNA
Source: RNAcentral
AAUCAAACCGGGAGAUAGCUGGUUCUCCCCGAAAGCUAUUUAGGUAGCGCCUCGUGAAUUCAUCUCCGGGGGUAGAGCACUGUUUCGGCAAGGGGGUCAUCCCGACUUACCAACCCGAUGCAAACUGCGAAUACCGGAGAAUGUUAUCACGGGAGACACACGGCGGGUGCUAACGUCCGUCGUGAAGAGGGAAACAACCCAGACCGCCAGCUAAGGUCCCAAAGUCAUGGUUAAGUGGGAAACGAUGUGGGAAGGCCCAGACAGCCAGGAUGUUGGCUUAGAAGCAGCCAUCAUUUAAAGAAAGCGUAAUAGCUCACUGGUCGAGUCGGCCUGCGCGGAAGAUGUAACGGGGCUAAACCAUGCACCGAAGCUGCGGCAGCGACGCUUAUGCGUUGUUGGGUAGGGGAGCGUUCUGUAAGCCUGUGAAGGUGUGCUGUGAGGUAUGCUGGAGGUAUCAGAAGUGCGAAUGCUGACAUAAGUAACGAUAAAGCGGGUGAAAAGCCCGCUCGCCGGAAGACCAAGGGUUCCUGUCCAACGUUAAUCGGGGCAGGGUGAGUCGACCCCUAAGGCGAGGCCGAAAGGCGUAGUCGAUGGGAAACAGGUUAAUAUUCCUGUACUUGGUGUUACUGCGAAGGGGGGACGGAGAAGGCUAUGUUGGCCGGGCGACGGUUGUCCCGGUUUAAGCGUGUAGGCUGGUUUUCCAGGCAAAUCCGGAAAAUCAAGGCCGAGGCGUGAUGACGAGGCACUACGGUGCUGAAGCAACAAAUGCCCUGCUUCCAGGAAAAGCCUCUAAGCAUCAGGUAACAUCAAAUCGUACCCCAAACCGACACAGGUGGUCAGGUAGAGAAUACCAAGGCGCUUGAGAGAACUCGGGUGAAGGAACUAGGCAAAAUGGUGCCGUAACUUCGGGAGAAGGCACGCUGAUACGUAGGUGAAGCGACUUGCUCGUGGAGCUGAAAUCAGUCGAAGAUACCAGCUGGCUGCAACUGUUUAUUAAAAACACAGCACUGUGCAAACACGAAAGUGGACGUAUACGGUGUGACGCCUGCCCGGUGCCGGAAGGUUAAUUGAUGGGGUUAGCGCAAGCGAAGCUCUUGAUCGAAGCCCCGGUAAACGGCGGCCGUAACUAUAACGGUCCUAAGGUAGCGAAAUUCCUUGUCGGGUAAGUUCCGACCUGCACGAAUGGCGUAAUGAUGGCCAGGCUGUCUCCACCCGAGACUCAGUGAAAUUGAACUCGCUGUGAAGAUGCAGUGUACCCGCGGCAAGACGGAAAGACCCCGUGAACCUUUACUAUAGCUUGACACUGAACAUUGAGCCUUGAUGUGUAGGAUAGGUGGGAGGCUUUGAAGUGUGGACGCCAGUCUGCAUGGAGCCGACCUUGAAAUACCACCCUUUAAUGUUUGAUGUUCUAACGUGGACCCGUGAUCCGGGUUGCGGACAGUGUCUGGUGGGUAGUUUGACUGGGGCGGUCUCCUCCUAAAGAGUAACGGAGGAGCACGAAGGUUGGCUAAUCCUGGUCGGACAUCAGGAGGUUAGUGCAAUGGCAUAAGCCAGCUUGACUGCGAGCGUGACGGCGCGAGCAGGUGCGAAAGCAGGUCAUAGUGAUCCGGUGGUUCUGAAUGGAAGGGCCAUCGCUCAACGGAUAAAAGGUACUCCGGGGAUAACAGGCUGAUACCGCCCAAGAGUUCAUAUCGACGGCGGUGUUUGGCACCUCGAUGUCGGCUCAUCACAUCCUGGGGCUGAAGUAGGUCCCAAGGGUAUGGCUGUUCG